UACGUAGGGUGCAAGCGUUGUCCGGAAUUAUUGGGCGUAAAGAGCUUGUAGGCGGUUUGUCGCGUCUGCUGUGAAAUUUCGGGGCUCAACCCCGAACUUGCAGUGGGUACGGGCAGACUAGAGUGUGGUAGGGGAGACUGGAAUUCCUGGUGUAGAGGUGAAAUGCGCAGAUAUCAGGAGGAACACCGAUGGCGAAGGCAGGUCUCUGGGCCACUACUGACGCUGAGAAGCGAAAGCAUGGGGAGCGAACAGG
Molecule: ribosomal RNA, 253 nt
Filed under: uncultured bacterium
Lineage: Bacteria
Description: partial 16S ribosomal RNA
Rfam family: Bacterial small subunit ribosomal RNA
Source: RNAcentral